GAUGAACGCUGGCGGCGUGCCUAAUACAUGCAAGUCGAGCGAACGGACGAGAAGCUUGCUUCUCUGAUGUUAGCGGCGGACGGGUGAGUAACACGUGGAUAACCUACCUAUAAGACUGGGAUAACUUCGAGAAACCGGAGCUAAUACCGGAUAAUAUUUUGAACCGCAUGGUUCAAAAGUGAAAGACGGUCUUGCUGUCACUUAUAGAUGGAUCCGCGCUGCAUUAGCUAGUUGGUAAGGUAACGGCUUACCAAGGCAACGAUGCAUAGCCGACCUGAGAGGGUGAUCGGCCACACUGGAACUGAGACACGGUCCAGACUCCUACGGGAGGCAGCAGUAGGGAAUCUUCCGCAAUGGGCGAAAGCCUGACGGAGCAACGCCGCGUGAGUGAUGAAGGUCUUCGGAUCGUAAAACUCUGUUAUUAGGGAAGAACGUAUGUGUAAGUAACUGUGCACAUCUUGACGGUACCUAAUCAGAAAGCCACGGCUAACUACGUG
Molecule: ribosomal RNA, 497 nt
Filed under: uncultured bacterium
Lineage: Bacteria
Description: partial 16S ribosomal RNA
Rfam family: Bacterial small subunit ribosomal RNA
Source: RNAcentral